Molecule: long non-coding RNA, 669 nt
Filed under: Rhinopithecus bieti (black snub-nosed monkey)
Lineage: Eukaryota; Metazoa; Chordata; Mammalia; Primates; Cercopithecidae
Description: lncRNA (ENSRBIG00000045476.1)
Source: RNAcentral
CGCCCACCUCACAAAGAGGUAGCUUCCGCACGUGCACGACUCAGCGGCAAGGGCGUGCGACGCGCAGGCGCCGGGAAGCCCACGGGGCGGAAACUGGAGCGAGCCAGCCCUCCUCCGGCCCUGCGGCCUCCCUUUCGCGCCCCCUAUCGGCAGGGCCAGUGGGGCAGCAGAAGCGUGGCUCGCAGGGCCCAGCCCCAGCCACAUGCACCGAGCUGAGCGUGCGCUGGCCUGUGUGGAGCCCAGGCAAGAACGGAGUAACUGGUACAGAGGGGGCUUUGCGUUUUCAGGAAUGCAGUGUCCCCUUUCCAGGAGCCCUGCAGAGUCUCAUCCAUCCCUGGGGAAGGAAGACGCCCGGCUGCAGUCACGCACCCCGCACCCGUCCAGAUCUCAGCUCGUGCCGUCACCCCUGAGGCUGGAACAGUCUCUGAAGAGGGGCUGGCUGCACAGUUCCACGGGGGAAACUGUGAAGGAAAACAUAGGCCUGGCCUGUCAGCGGGGGAGUCCCAGGAAACGCUCUGGUCAGUCGGCGCUUGAAGAUAAAACUCAGCCAUAGAAGGAGAGAGGCUCUGGAUACAUUCUAAAGAGAUCUGUGGCCUGAAGGAGGAGGAGAACUUAUAAAGAAACAUGUGAAUUAAAUGGAAGAAAGGGACAAAUGGAAGCAUAUCUGAG